CAGCAGCCGCGGUAAAACGAAGGGUGCAAGCGUUACUCGGAAUUACUGGGCGUAAAGCGUGCGUAGGUGGUGGUUUAAGUCCGUUGUGAAAGCCCUGGGCUCAACCUGGGAAUUGCAGUGGAUACUGGAUCACUAGAGUGUGGUAGAGGAUAGUGGAAUUUCCGGUGUAGCAGUGAAAUGCGUAGAGAUCGGAAGGAACAUCUGUGGCGAAAGCGACUAUCUGGGCCAACACUGACACUGAGGCACGAAAGCGUGGGGAGCAAACAGGAUUAGAUACCCGCGUAGUCCCUGUCUCUUAUAC
RNAcentral lists this ribosomal RNA (301 nucleotides) under uncultured bacterium. RNAcentral describes it as "partial 16S ribosomal RNA". It matches the Rfam family "Bacterial small subunit ribosomal RNA", at positions 509 to 807 of the family's 1533-position model. The record is from RNAcentral.